UACGUAGGGUGCAAGCGUUAAUCGGAAUUACUGGGCGUAAAGCGUGCGCAGGCGGUCAUACAAGACAGAUGUGAAAUCCCCGGGCUUAACCUGGGAACUGCAUUUGUGACUGCAUGGCUGGAGUGCGGCAGAGGGGGAUGGAAUUCCGCGUGUAGCAGUGAAAUGCGUAGAUAUGCGGAGGAACACCGAUGGCGAAGGCAAUCCCCUGGGCCUGCACUGACGCUCAUGCACGAAAGCGUGGGGAGCAAACAGG
RNAcentral lists this ribosomal RNA (253 nucleotides) under uncultured bacterium. RNAcentral's name for it is "partial 16S ribosomal RNA". It matches the Rfam family "Bacterial small subunit ribosomal RNA", at positions 524 to 776 of the family's 1533-position model. The record is from RNAcentral.